RNAcentral lists this ribosomal RNA (253 nucleotides) under uncultured bacterium. Its description in RNAcentral is "partial 16S ribosomal RNA". It matches the Rfam family "Bacterial small subunit ribosomal RNA", at positions 524 to 776 of the family's 1533-position model. The record is from RNAcentral.
UACAGAGGUGGCAAGCGUUGUUCGGAAUUACUGGGCGUAAAGGGCGCGUAGGCGGUCUUCUAAGUCGGACGUGAAAGCCCCAGGCUUAACCUGGGAACUGCGUCCGAUACUGGGAGGCUUGGAUUCGGGAGAGGGAUGUGGAAUUCCAGGUGUAGCGGUGAAAUGCGCAGAUAUCAGGAAGAACACCCGUGGCGAAAGCGGCUCUCUGGAACGGUACUGACGCUGAGACGCGAAAGCGUGGGGAGCGAACAGG